Molecule: long non-coding RNA, 391 nt
Organism: Dermochelys coriacea (leatherback sea turtle)
Lineage: Eukaryota; Metazoa; Chordata; Testudines; Dermochelyidae
Exons: 3
Source: RefSeq, a predicted model, not a curated record
UGUGUAAGAGAGACCCAUUUACAGCAAAAAGAUGAAAUGUAUGUUGUGGGAGGGGAAAAAUAUCCUAAAAAUGUGUUUACAAUAAAACAAACAGGGAUGGUUCAGACAUGUGGUUGAGUACAAUAGAGCUGACUUAUUCUGUUAAACUGAAUGGGUUUAACCACCCCCUCACUGAAUAGCCAGGGUGACUGUGAUUACUCACCCUUGUUGCCAUAGGGUUAAAUUUGAUGGGGGUGCACCCAUAGUAAGGGAGGUGGGUGGGUGAGGAUGAUGAGUUCUGAUUAACAUGAAAUGAAAUAAAACCUCAGGAGUUUGCAGAUGCUAUUGGACAGUUUAAAUAUAACCCCUGGAGUUAGCAGAACCCUAUAGGCCAGUUUAAAUAUGAUGCCAG